Molecule: small nucleolar RNA, 133 nt
Organism: Triticum dicoccoides
Lineage: Eukaryota; Viridiplantae; Streptophyta; Magnoliopsida; Poales; Poaceae
Product: small nucleolar RNA Z247
Exons: 1
Source: RefSeq, a predicted model, not a curated record
CCCGUCGGUGAAGAUGAGCUCAUCUCCUUCAUCAUCGCCGGUCUCGACAUGGAAUAUCAGCCCAUCAUCUCCGCCCUUGACGUGCAUGUUGAUCAUGUCUCCACCGAUGAACUCUUUGGCAUGAUCUCCAACU